RNAcentral lists this ribosomal RNA (192 nucleotides) under uncultured bacterium. Its description in RNAcentral is "partial 16S ribosomal RNA". It matches the Rfam family "Bacterial small subunit ribosomal RNA", at positions 167 to 353 of the family's 1533-position model. The record is from RNAcentral.
UACCGCAUAAGAUUGUAGUAUCGCAUGAUAUAGCAAUUAAAAGGAAGCAAUCCGCUAUAAGAUGGACCCGCGUCGCAUUAGCUAGUUGGUGAGGUAAUGGCUCACCAAGGCGACGAUGCGUAGCCGACCUGAGAGGGUGAUCGGCCACAUUGGGACUGAGACACGGCCCAGACUCCUACGGGAGGCAGCAUG